UAGGGAAUCUUCGGCAAUGGACGCAAGUCUGACCGAGCAACGCCGCGUGAGUGAUGAAGGUUUUCGGAUCGUAAAACUCUGUUGCCAGGGAAGAACGAUCGGGAGAGUAACUGUUCCCGAUGUGACGGUACCUGAGAAGAAAGCCCCGGCUAACUACGUGCCAGCAGCCGCGGUAAUACGUAGGGGGCAAGCGUUGUCCGGAAUUAUUGGGCGUAAAGCGCGCGCAGGCGGUUGCUUAAGUCUGGUGUAUAAACCAAGGGCUCAACCUUUGGACGCAUUGGAAACUGGGCAACUGGAGUGUAGGAGAGGAAAGUGGAAUUCCACGUGUAGCGGUGAAAUGCGUAGAGAUGUGGAGGAACACCAGUGGCGAAGGCGACUUUCUGGCCUAUAACUGACGCUGAGGCGCGAAAGCGUGGGGAGCAAACA
Molecule: ribosomal RNA, 426 nt
Filed under: uncultured Paenibacillus sp.
Lineage: Bacteria; Bacillati; Bacillota; Bacilli; Caryophanales; Paenibacillaceae
Description: bacterial SSU rRNA
Rfam family: Bacterial small subunit ribosomal RNA
Source: RNAcentral